GUGCAAUCUCGGCUCACUGCAAGCUCCGCCUCCCGGGUUCACGCCAUUCUCCUGCCUCAGGCUCCUGAGCAGCUGGGACCACAGGCACCUGCCACCACGCCCAGCUAAUUUUUUGUAUUUUUAGUAGAGAUAGGGUUUCACCGUGCUAACCAGGAUGGUCUUGAUCUCCUGACCUCAUGAUCCACCCGCCUUGGCCUCCCAAAGUGCUGGGAUUACAGGCGUGAGCCACUGCACCCGGCCAAAUUUUUGUAUUUUUGGUAGGGACGGGUUUUACCAUGUUGGCCAGGCUGGUCUUGAACUCCUGACCUCAGGUGAUCCUCCCUUCUCAGCCUCCCAAAGUGUUGGGAUUACAGGCGUGAGCCACCAUGCUCAGCCUGCAUUUGCUAUUUUGAUAUCUAUUACCAAAUUUUUCUUUGGAAAUGUGCCAGUUUACACUCCCACAAAUACUUUUGUCAGCAUUAGUUAGGUAUUACAUGUUUUUAAAUCCUCAUUAAUUCAGCAAACAAUUUUAUUUUAAUUGCCAUAUAGCUUGCUAUGUGUAUGUCUCUUGAAGAAUUACCUGUUCUUUUUAUUGAGGUCUUUAUUUUUUAUUGACUUGUAACUGUUCAUUGCAUCUUAAAAAUAGUAGCACUUUGUUGUGUGCUUACUGUUGUUUUCCCUCAGUUUUUCUUGGUUUUGAACUAGUUUUUGUUUUGUUUUUGUUUUUUGCCAUAUAGAAGGGUUACAAAGUUAAAUAUUUCCAUGUUUUCCAUUAUAGCUUCUGGUAGUAACUAGAAUUUACCUAAGCCCAGAAGAAUAAAAAGUCACCUGUGUUUUAUUCUGGCUUUAUACUGUUUUCAUUUGUUCUGUUAUAAUUUUUGUAUAAGAAAUCCAGGAAUCUAUUUUGCUUCUGAAGUGGCUGUCCAAUCAGGAUUUACCUUUUACCACUUGGUUGGAGAGGUGGGGGAAGAAGAGACUGGAGGAAAUAGAAGCUGAAGACAGGACUAGAUGUGUCUCCCUCCCCAGCCUCCUUUCUCUGCAGAGGUGGAGGAAUCACGGAAGCUAUCGUGGCUUUAGGUGUUGACUUUUGUCAAUGUUUGCUGAAGCCAGGAGUGAAAUUGAGACAAUAUUCCGAUUCUUGGAACCUGAGUUAGCGUUAAAGGGGAUGACAAACAGGCUGUUGUUAGGAGGUAGUUCCAUGUAAUAGGAAGAGUUUCCACCUCCCUCAGAGGCUGCCUUUCUCGUUUCUCCAAAUGAUUUCGCGGUUGGCCUAAGUUUCCUUUACUUCUCCCUACGAUGGUGUAACAUUAGCUUGAAUGCUGACGCUAUGUGGUGGUGAGCGGCAGUGGGUGUAUCUUGCCCAUAAACCCUUGGAGGACAGUGGAGGACAGGGACUGACCAACUCACCCAAGGGUCCUCUGCAUGCACAUGGUCCCUGCACAUGGCACAUAGUUGGUGCUCAGAAGGCCUUUGCUGGAACAAAGGAAAACACAAGCACCCACAGCAGUGAUGGCUGAUUUUGUCGGGUCUGCAAUGGAGAUUAGUCACCACUAGGUGUCAUGGUGAGUCAAGAAACAUUUUGGCUCAUGGUUACAAAUUAUGCGUUUACUGUAUUCAUCUUCGUGCAUGCACACAUGCAAUGUUUUACAAAGCAUCUGUUGAGUGUCUACGGCACAACACACACGUUCUGGUGCUGGAGAUCCUGCCCUGGCUGAGCUUCUGGACCUGGUGGGGAGAAAUCCACAAUGAGUACUGAGACGACCGGCAAAAGCCCGGUGAAGGCACCUAGGAGUAGGGCCUGCUUACCCUGGAGGAGUCGGGAGCAGCUUCCACAGCAAGGAGGCUUCUAAGAUUUUUUGUUCUUUGUCAGCAUGAGUACCUGGGAUCUUACAUGUAGCCCCUGCAUCAUUUCAGAAAUGAUCUCCAGUGCCCAGGCUCUGAUGCCCAACAGACCUGAAGUUACAUCCCAACCUGAACAGGCGGCUUUUGCUCUCCAGGCCUUCAUUGCCCCACAGUGGGAACAAUAAUAAUAUGCACCUUCUAGGUACCCAAAAGCACAAGAGACAGUGAACGGAAAGUGCUUGGAAGCCCCGUGCCCAGGUGGUGCUGGCCCCAGCUGAACUGCGGGGAUAGAUGUUGAGUGUCCAGGUUCUAGCAUCAUAGAACAGAAUCCGGCCUGUUGGGAAAUCCUGCCUACAAGUAUACCUCCAUUAAUUAGUGUCUUCUGUGAACAUUUUUAUUAAAAAAAGAAGAAAAGCUUCUCAACCCAAGCCCAAGGGCAUGUCCUGAUUUGUUGAAAGUAGUUGUAAGACCAUUUCAUUAUUCACUCUACUUUUUCAUAUGUUGGAAAUGUUUUAUAAGAAUAAAUACAAUAAUAUCAGGCUGUGUGCGGUGGCUCAUGCCUGUAAUCCUAGCACUUUGGCAGGCUGGCCAACAUCAUGAAAGCCUGUCUCUACUAAAAAUACAAAAAAUUAACUGGCAUGGUGGCGCGCACCUGUAAUCCCAGCUACUCGGGAGGCUGAGGCACAAGAAUUGCUUGAGCUGGGGAGGCGCAGGUUUCAGUGAGCUGAGAUUGUGUCACUGCACUCCAUCCAGGCUGGGAGACAGAGUGAGACCUUGUCUCAAAGAAAAAAAAAAAGAAAUACAAAGAUAUCAGCUUAAAACAAAAGAACUCAUUUGAAAUUUGCCAGUCUUUUAAAUUUUGUUUUCUUUUUUUAAUACUAUUUGUUUUUGAGAGUCUCACUAUGUUGCCCAGGCUGUUCUCAAACUCCUAGGCUCAGGUUCCUCCCAUCUCAGCCUGUGGAGUAUCUGGGAUUACAGGCACAUCCCGCUGCACCCAGCUUCCUUUCCUUAUAAGUUCAAUGAAACCGAAUUGUAUGCUUUUGCUUUUUAAAAAGCUGUGCACAAAAAUGUCAUUUUAUAUAUUAAUAAUUAUUUCCCUAAAUCUAUUCUUUUGCGUAUAGGUUUGGAGAACCUCUGGAAUGAUACUCCCAAAAUAUUAUUUUUUAAGAAAUUAUUUUUGGGUGGUGGCCUAUUGGGUAAAUUUUUCCUGAACUUUCUAUUUUGUAUUCUUGUCAUUAUUUGGAUAGUUUUACAGAAACAAAAGUUGUAUUCUGUGAACACAGAGGGAGAAAGAGAAAUAAUAAAAUUAUUUCCCCUUCCACUGAGCUGUAUGCAGCAAGAGUUUGGGGGCAGUGAGGUCCCGGGGUCGGUGGAAAGAGGGGACAGGGAGCCACAGGGCGGGUGCUGAGGUGGACACAGCCUUGGGGAGCACAUUGCCUACUCAGUCCAUGCCCCCAUCACACCCUUUGCCUGCAACGCGCCUCCAGCUCUGGAACUCAUCCUCCACUAACCCGGCACCCACAGGCCAAGCUGUCACGCAAGGAAGCGGCCACGCGAGGGCGUGAUCUACCAGGGAUCCGUGCCUGGGUCUGUGCAUCCUCCCUUCUGCAGCCAGAAGAAACCCCUUUGAAGAAGCGGGUGGAUGACAAGCUUGCAAUACACCGGGGAGGGGAGCAGCAUCCCCAGAGGCUUUUCCAUGCACCCUCUUUCUGAGCAGCUCUGGAUACCCUGGGUCAGCUCCCACACAAAUUGCUCAUAACUCAUUAGUCACCCUUAAAAUUAAUCUCUCCAACAGUGACAUCCUGUACUCAGGCGGUGUCUUAACCCCCUGAAAAUGCCUUCGUGGCAAUGUCCCUGUGGCAUAAGCAUGCCCCAUUUUGCAAGGGAGGGAAUUAAAUUUCAGAGAAGUUAAGCGAUCCAGGGAAUUUCAGUAGCAGAAAUAAGUCUAGAACGGAGAUUACCCAACUUGACUCAAAUGGCAAAACGUUUGUCAUGGGGAAUUUAAUUCUUUAAACCUUUUCGUUGCUUUAUCUCCUUGCUUGGAAUAUUCACCAUCCAUGUGCCCACUAAAUCCUGACUGCUCUGAGACCACGUUCUUCAUGCCAGUCUUAUCUCCCGUGCCUCCUGGGCUUAGGAAUCUGAUGAGCCUGAGUGUGGAUCUGGGUCCUGCCCCCUGACUGUGUGGGGUUACCCGGAUUCCCUGAACUUCGGUCUCCCCUCAUGGAAAAUGGGGAUGGUAUGCCUUCCUACAUGAAGGCGAUCUCAAUAUAGUUACCAGCUGGCGACUAUACAGGCAGUUGUCAGUCAGCCUGUGGGACACAUGGGUGGCUGGAUCAGUCUGGCAGGAGCAGGUGGAGAGAAUUACCAGGUGAUAUGCUGACCCCACGAGGACCAAGGACCGCACUGCUCAAGCCUUCACCUGCCACUUGGCAUUAAAGCCUCUUUACCCUUGUCUCCCCAACCGGACAAUACAUUCCUAGGUGGGAGGGCCCCUGCCUUUCACUGCUGCUGUCUUGGAGCUAGGCAAUGUAAUUUCAUGUAUCAGAUGACGGCUGUCAAGCACUAAGUUUUGUUUGUUCCUUCUGCUGUCUCCUAAGUUCACAAAUAAACAACAGCCCUGAGAAUCCUCAUGGCGGCUUUGGAACCUCGAGCAUCAUAAAGUAUAUUCGGGAGUCCGGAGGGCCUUGGCUCCCUUGUGCUGGCAGGGCAGAAUGAAGCUGGGUGCAUUGUGUGUGCCCCACCAGCACAAGCGCUAGCAUUUGUCUCAAUGCCGGGGAUUCCUGGAGCACCCGCUGUUCUCUAGACGCCCCCUUUACC
RNAcentral lists this long non-coding RNA (4638 nucleotides) under Homo sapiens (human). RNAcentral describes it as "HSALNT0036439". The record is from RNAcentral. Lineage: Eukaryota; Metazoa; Chordata; Mammalia; Primates; Hominidae.